Non-coding RNA from Podarcis lilfordi (Lilford's wall lizard), 78 nucleotides. The record is from the annotation of a GenBank genome assembly. NCBI's taxonomy places the organism in Eukaryota, Metazoa, Chordata, Lepidosauria, Squamata, Lacertidae.
ACCACAUUGAUGGUGCUGGUUGUUUGCAGCAUGGGACUCUUAAUCUCAGGGUUGUGGGUUCGAGCCCCACAUUGGGUA